AUUAGAAUAAAAAUAUGGGCUAUACUUGUUGCUGAUUUGUACCGUUUGCAAAUCGUUUUCGGUAUCUAGGAAAGUGUGAGUAGAUUCGAAAAACAGUUUUAAAGUUCAAUUUUAAAGCUUGAAUUUUUCAUAUCAUCAAGCUUUUUAAAGAUAAAAAAUUGAAAGGUAAAUUCAAAUUAUGAGCAAAUGACAUACGUAUUAUAACCCUUUUAUUCCCAGUGUUCUCAGCAGUUUCUAAAUCGAAGCCUAAAGAAUGAUAAAAGUUCAGCUUUAACAUAUUCGCAUUUUCCUCUGACUGACAUAUGUCUUCAGAAGUAUUUUCGCGUUCCUCAAGUUGUAGUAGCUGUUCCUUCAUUUUCUGCAAUUGAGAUUCUAAACUCAUAAUUUCGUUCUCAGUGAUAUUCAACAACUUGGCUAUCCUAAAUUUCUCCUUUUCCCUGCUUAAAAUCUCCUCAGCGUGUUGUGAUGACUCUGCUGUUUGUUUUAAUGACUCCAUAGCCUGGGUAGAUAUUUCUAAUUUUCUUGAAAGCACUAUUCACAGUUAAUGCAUGGUCGUUUAUUUCUAGAUUAAAACUAACCUUUAAAUUUGGUUUGAGAUCCUUCCAAUUCUUUUUCUCUGAAGCUCUGUAUCUGUGCGCGAAUGUCUUGAAUGUUUGAGAUGGUUUUCACAUCUGGUGCAAUUUGAAAACCAGCAAGCGUGGACCGCAUAAGUUCAAUUGGACUGUCUGACAUAUUUACUUCUCUUUUAUUUAUGUUCUUUUGUGUUUAAAAAGUAAUUUCUUUGAAAACUUUCAACGUGGUCGUAACGUACGAAAAGG
Schizosaccharomyces pombe (fission yeast) is the source of this 818-nucleotide non-coding RNA. The record is from the annotation of a GenBank genome assembly. Lineage: Eukaryota; Fungi; Ascomycota; Schizosaccharomycetes; Schizosaccharomycetales; Schizosaccharomycetaceae.